AUCUCAUCACGAAUUAAUUACCCUUUACACUCUGCUUAUCUGACUUGUCAAUUUCCGUUAACUGUUUUUAGGUGUUUACUUAAUUGGGUUUAAUUAAUGACUAAAAGUUGUCAUGUACAUAUUUACAUACGCAUGUGGUACUCUGUUUGACGUCGUAGUCUGAAUCGGACCGUCUGAUAUAUAUUUAUAUUUGGACAUAUCCCCAUUCUCCGCUGGAAGUUGCCACGAGAGUGAAAAUCCACCCCCAACCCGGACAUAAUUGGAGGAGAACACGUACAACACAUUUUCGCCAAAGACAAACUCCCCAUCAAUUCCUUCAAGGUCACAGUACCUGCAAUAUUACAACAGUUUUGCAGAAAUCACCAUUACAUAACUCGUCGACGUCGACGCAAAAUUGCCUACUUAAACCGGAUACGUAUUUCAUUAAAAUUAUACGAGAUGUAUGUACAUAACAUGUAUUUAAAAAUCAGAGGUUGACGCCGCCGACAGCAUUUUACGCACAAAAAAAUCUGGUAUCCUAUUCCUUCAACAUUGGAGCGCCGACACUGCCGAAAAAUCACAAAAAUUGGCCGCCGUCGCCGCAAAAUUUGUCGGCUUCGACCUCUGAUAUAAAUACGUGGCCUAUUUAUUUACCUCACCCUAGCUCUCCACCCUUGAAAAUAGUUAAAGUCGUACGCCCACACCCAAUCGUAACAAUUAUCCAUCCCGUACGAUUGCCACUUGUAUCUCACAAAACGAUCUCGAACGAACUUAAAGUCUGGCGUGGCGACGACAAAGACGGACAGCUCGUCGUCAUUGUACAUCUCACAUGGCAAGUUGUCAGGAUGUGUCACAUUCCCCCCACCAUUAAUUUCCCAAUCUGCGGAAGAAAUAUAAUCCCGGGAAAGAUCCGAAACGUCGGCUGAAUCUCCCAUUCCGAUCCAAUCUAACAUAAAACCCUUUCCAUUUCCGUUUGCACUAGUGGAAGCGAACAUUACGACGGCAACGUUUCCGAACAUCGUAACGUUUGUAGUUCCGGGUUUC
Molecule: long non-coding RNA, 1023 nt
Organism: Folsomia candida
Lineage: Eukaryota; Metazoa; Arthropoda; Collembola; Entomobryomorpha; Isotomidae
Exons: 3
Source: RefSeq, a predicted model, not a curated record